Long non-coding RNA from Passer domesticus (house sparrow), 4056 nucleotides. RefSeq lists it as uncharacterized. The record is from RefSeq and is a predicted model, not a curated record. NCBI's taxonomy places the organism in Eukaryota, Metazoa, Chordata, Aves, Passeriformes, Passeridae. The transcript has 4 exons.
AUUCUCUUUGUUGGAUGCUUUCAGCUGAGGCCUCUCCCAAAGUCGAAGGUGAUUUCUAUUUGCCAAAGUGGGAAGACAACGGGAGGCAGAAUAAAGAUGAAAACCCAAGCAGUCAGUUGAACUUGUUCAGACUGAUACCAGCCCAAGGUAUUCAGGCAGAAGCUAACCCAAGGUUUCCCUAACCUUGGCAGAAGUGCAGGAAAUAGUUGCAGGAGGAUGAAGUGUUCUUGAACUGUUUCUCCAAUGUAUCAAGCACAAGCAGGCUAUUCUUCAGUAUUAAGCACGUGCUUCUCUUUUCUUCCCCUUUAAAGAAACUUUUUAUUGUAGACUAUAAAAGGGGGGGGGGCAGGGGGGAAAUCAAUCAAUCUCUGUUUGUGGACCCCUGUGCUGCAUCUAUGCUAUCCAAGGACAAAGAUGCAAAUCAGGACCUCCCCAGCAUAAUAGCAUUUAGAAGGCAAAUUUCUUGCUGAAGUCUUAUAGCAAAAGAAAUAGCUGUGCUCAAGUGUUAUUUUAAACAAAAAGGAAAAAGAUUAAUUAACCACAUUCUUUAAAACAUCAGCUUCCCUGGAUACAUCAGAAACAGCAUUCCAGAUAAAAGCAGCAUGAUGUGAAAAGACCUGAUCAGCAACAUAUUGGUGUCUGGGCUUGGGGACUAAUGUAAGAACUUAAAGACUUGGCUAGAGAAUAUAUCCUGAGAAGCACAAACAUAUAAGAGGAUGCCAAACCAUGAAAGGCUUCCUUUGCACUGAGAAUUCAGAAGUCGGCGUGUUGACAAGCAGAGAAGCCAAUGCUGCUAGCAAAGCACAUAGGGUGAUGAAUAAACGCAGAUUUUGGGAGCCUAGGAGGAGAUCUAGAAAGGGGCCAACUGAUUUAGCCAUGUUUUUAAGUCUCUACACCCAGCAUUUAGGUGCUGUCAAGCCUCAGGCCUCCUCCCCAGCUGCCCGUGAUGAGGUUUCACGGAGUGGGGCAGCCGGCUUUGACUCAGUGUGUGCAUCAGUGUUCAGCUCUCGGAGGGGAUGCAGAGACUGCCGAGACACUGGCUGCAGCAGGCUGCCUGAGCCAUUUGUUGAGCCUAUGGGAGAGUCAGGUUUAAUUUCCUGCUCAGAUGCGCUGCAUUUUCUGGCUGUUGGCUCAGCAGUAGGCUCCUGGAGUGCCUCCCUGGGGGCCAGAUACACCUCCUCCUGUGUACCGGGGAGAGCCUGGAGGCUGUGUGGGAUCUGAGCUGUUCUCUGGCUGGCACAGCACGUUCGAGGCAGAUGUAUGCCUCUGUAACUGUGACAUCCCACUAGCGUCUCUGGAGCUACUGCAGCAGGAAUGCUGGCUUGAAACGCUUGAGCCAUGAGCAAAGUAAGUGAACAGAUAUGGCUCGUGCAGUUCUUAAACAUGAGACCUGGCCACACAUUAUUAAUUGGGAGAGUCUCUUUGGGAUGCCAGUGGAGAAGUAGUAUUCUUCUCUUGAGAGGAAAAAAUGCAAUUUUCCUCCAGCUGCAUUUAAAAUUGGAUAGUUCAGUAAUUAGCUGAGAAAUAACAGAUUUACAUAUGAAGCAAUAUAGCAAAGGAAGGGUAGUUGUUAGGUACUAGUUGAUGUGCAGUCUGAUUUGUGAUGGAUAAGCUAAGUUUAAAAGCUAUAUUCUAAGGAAAAUGGACAUAACUGCAAAAAUAUGGGAUGUACAUAUGAUGAGAAAAAAACCCCAAAAACCUCUUUACCUAAAAAGAAAUUUGAGAGGGCAGUCAUGGGAAGAAACACUGAUGACUUCCUCUUUUGCAUUUAGCAUAAGCCUACCAUGCAACCGCCCAAGAUAAACACUGUCUUUUUCUGGUUUGGAAAACAUCUUGAAUGUCCUUUAAACUUGUUGACUUGCUCCACUUUUGUCAGGCCUUCUUGCAUAAGCACAUUGCUCCCAACACAAUCAUCCCUUGAGACGUACUCAUGUUAUUAUCAGGUACCUCCUGGGGGCUGAGCACCUACCCUGCAAGGAUGCUGGUAAGUACUUGCAGGCACCUCUUCUUCAGCAGAGAUCAACGUCUGUGCAGCUGAUGGCUCUCAUUCUUGUUUGGUUGGCAGGGAUGGUGUCACUAAACUUGAGCUCACUUGUCACAAUGGAAUUCAAUUAUCUGCUGGAGAGAAGCCCUGACAGCUGUGGCGUAGGUUUUUCAAUGUGAUGUUGCCUGGAUCGCAAGAAAAAUAUCAAGGGCUGGUGAGAACAGCCAUGUUCUAAAAGCAUCUCCGCCUGGGUUAGACCACUGCCUACCAAAGAGGGCGUAAGUUGGAAGCACAGUGUUUGUUUACCACAUUGCCCCUGGGUUUGCCUCUGGCUUGUGCAUCCUGGGGGAGAGGCAGUGGGUCUGCUGCUGGUUCCUCAAACAUUGACAUCUGUGAUGGCCUUCUGUAGUGAAAGCAUUUUCCUAGCAGCAGCAUUAGGAUCCAGGAACAUUGUCCCUCAACCACUGUGGGAAAUCUGUGAGAGCCAAGCUGCACCACACCAGAGGCUAACAUGCAUGUCUUUUGGGAAAUCCUGGCUGUGUCCCCUGGGCUUCAGGAGCUUCCUGGGCUAGGUUUGGAAAUUAAACCACAGAGCUGCACUUCGUCUGUCCGUGCCCCACCCAAAUGAAGGGAAAGGCAUCCUUGGUAAGGCCCUGUGCUCCUGCCUCAAGCUGCAAGGGAUGACCUGUCUGGCAAGAGCUUUGGGAAGGAGUUUCUUCUCCAAAAAGUGAGUGUGUUGUAAUGUGUUUGCAUUAUCCACUGUCAGCUCUUGAUGACUGCCAUUAGGAUUAGAAACAAUUUGGAAAUUCUGGAGUUAAAAGUAUGUAAGUUGCAUGAAGAUAAUACUUAAUAAACACGAAUACAUGGUAGGGAGAUUUUUUUUCCAUCCUUUAAUAUGACUUUUAGACUUACAAGCUUUUAUCUUAUUUUAUGGGGCCAUGUGAAAUAAAUUAAAUGUAACACAAGAUGCUGUUAAAAAAGAUUUUAUGACAUUGAGAACUGGUUCUAUAUUAGGACCAGAUCUUACAAAGGCUUAUUGAUGUGAGCAGUUUUGCUCCCAUAGAUAAGCUGUGGAGUCAGCUAUGGCUAACCAUUUAAAUGCUCAGAAUCAGGCCCUCAUUUUGGAUGCACUUCUCAUUGUUAAAUCAAUGUGAAAGUGAAAUCUGUCUCCUCUCAAAAGGAAAUUGCCAAGACUUUCUACGCUAAGAUUUGGGAUCUGUAGAAAAUGAAGCCUUUUUAUUUUUUCUUCCCUCCAAUAAUCUGUUCAGUGAACAAGCUGUGAAAAAUAGUUCUAUAUUUUUUCCAUGUGAUGCAGCAGACGGUAAAUUUCCAUUUAAAAGAAUGAUCAGAGUAGCUGCUGGCACUGAACUCUGUUGUCUUAGUCAAAUCUACUUACAAAGAGUUUACAGCAAUACAAUAGCUUAUUAUUUCACUCAACCAGAAAUCAGAUGAAAAAGGCAAAGGGGAAGCCUGAAGUAGGUUCAUGGUCAGAAUUCUUUUCUUCCUUAACAUCUUGGGGUGUUUUUAAUGCAGGAGUUGAGAUCAGUAGUUUUAUGUAUAAGGAGGAGACUACUUCUUUUCACCUCUACUUUUGUAUGCUGUGAAAUAAUCAGACUAUGCACUUCUAUAGUGCCUUUCUUCUGUGGAUCUGAAAGCACUUUACAAACAUUAAUUAAAGUCUCACAACACCCAUGUGGAGGUAAAGGAGCAUUGUUUGUGUAUCUAAUGCAAAGGCUUAACCUGAUUCUUUAAGUACUCUAGCAGGAAAAUAAUGGAAUAGCCAAAGCAAAUUAAUCUAACUGAAUUGCUGGGAGCAUUUAUAUGUGUGUGUGCAUGUGUAUACGUGUAUAUAUAUGUGUGUGUGUGUCUGUGUGCAUGUGUGCCUGCAUCUCUGUGCUGCUGGAAGCCUCAGACUGCACCUCCUCUGCCCUGCACAUCCUGCCUGUUGUUGUCUCAGGGGAUUUGAAGUGUGCUGCUGCUUCUCUCUGUAUAAUGCCUCGGGUCCAUCAAAAUGUGUAUCUUCUAGGAAACCUGGGGAAAGCUUGCAUUGCCAUUGAUUAUGCUAAGAUUAG